Molecule: ribosomal RNA, 249 nt
Filed under: uncultured Legionellales bacterium
Lineage: Bacteria; Pseudomonadati; Pseudomonadota; Gammaproteobacteria; Legionellales
Description: partial 16S ribosomal RNA
Rfam family: Bacterial small subunit ribosomal RNA
Source: RNAcentral
UGGGGAAUAUUGGACAAUGGGCGCAAGCCUGAUCCAGCAAUGCCGCGUGUGUGAAGAAGGCCUUCGGGUUGUAAAGCACUUUCAGUGGGGAGAACGAAUUCAUUCUUAAUACGGGUGGAGGAAGAUGUUACCCACAGAAGAAGCACCGGCUAACUCUGUGCCAGCAGCCGCGGUAAUACAGAGGGUGCGAGCGUUAAUCGGAAUUACUGGGCGUAAAGGGUGCGAAGGUGGUUGCAUAAGUUAGGAGUG